This 1677-nucleotide ribosomal RNA is filed under the name Rita rita. RNAcentral's name for it is "16S ribosomal RNA". The stretch from base 106 to 1565 matches the Rfam family "Bacterial large subunit ribosomal RNA". Lineage: Eukaryota; Metazoa; Chordata; Actinopteri; Siluriformes; Bagridae. The record is from RNAcentral.
GCCAAACAGCUAGCUUCACCACACAACAACCAAAACAACAUUAAACUACACCACAUGACCACAAACCAUUAAACUAAAACAUUCUACCGCCAAAGUAUGUGAGACAGAAAAGGCACUAGAUAAAGCAAUAACAAAAGUACCGCAAGGGAACGCUGAAAGAAAAAUGAAAUAAAUUUCCAAAGCAACAAAAAGCAGAGAUUAAUCCUCGUACCUUUUGCAUCAUGAUUUAGCCAGCACUCACUGAGCAAAGAGGACUUUAGUUCAAAUCCCCGAAACUAAGUGAGCUACCCCAGGACAGCCUAUUUAAUUAGGGCCAACCCGUCUCUGUGGCAAAAGAGUGGGAAGAUCCCCGGGUAGAGGUGACAAACCUACCGAACUUAGUUAUAGCUGGUUGCCUAAGAAAUAAAUAGAAGUUUAGCCUCGCACUACCUUACCUCACACAUUUUAAUAAACGAGCUAGAGCAACAUGCGAGAGUUAGUCAAAAGGGGUACAGCCCUUUUGAAACAGGAUACAACCUAACCAGGAGGUUAAAGAUUAUACUAAACAAGACUAACCGUUUAAGUGGGCCUAAAAGCAGCCAUCCAAAAAGAAAGCGUUAAAGCUCUAACGGACAAACAUCUAUUAUUCAAAUAAUUAAUCUAAAACCCCUAACAAUAUUAGGCUAUUCCAUGCCACCAUGGAAACAAUACUGCUAAAAUGAGUAAUAAGAAGGAAUCCCCCUCUCCCAGCCCACGUGUACGCUAGAUCGGACCACCCACUAGCAAUUAUCGAACCCAACCAAAGAGGGUAAUGUGACCACAAUAAAUGUCAAGAAACACUCACAUAUCCAUAAUCGUUAACCCUACACUGGAGGGCCUAUAACCCAAGGGAAAGACUAAAAGAAAGGGAAGGAACUCGGCAAAUACAAGCCUCGCCUGUUUACCAAAAACAUCGCCUCCUGCAAAAAUCAACGUAUAGGAGGUCCUGCCUGCCCAGUGAUAAAUUAAACGCGCCGCGGUAUUUUGACCGUGCAAAGGUAGCGCAAUCACUUGUCUUUUAAAUGAAGACCCGUAUGAAUGGUGGAACGAGGGCUUAACUGUCUCCCCUCUCAAGUCAAUGAAAUUGAUCUAUCCGUGCAGAAGCGGACAUAAAAAUACAAGACGAGAAGACCCUUUGGAGCUUAAGAUAAAAAAUCAAUUAUGUCAAGAACCUCAAAACCAAGUUAAACCAAAUAUGCCUGAUUUUAUAUCUUCGGUUGGGGCGACCGCGGGAGAAAACAAAGCUCCCACGCGGACUGGGGCAAACCCCUAAAGCCAAGAAAGACAUUUCUAAGACACAAAACAUUUGACCAAAAGAUCCGGCGACCCGCCGAUCAACGAACCAAGUUACCCUAGGGAUAACAGCGCAAUCCCCUUCCAGAGUCCAUAUCGACAAGGGGGUUUACGACCUCGAUGUUGGAUCAGGACAUCCUAAUGGUGCAGCCGCUAUUAAGGGUUCGUUUGUUCAACGAUUAAAGUCCUACGUGAUCUGAGUUCAGACCGGAGCAAUCCAGGUCAGUUUCUAUCUGUACUGCCACUUUUCCUAGUACGAAAGGACCGGAAAAGCGGGGCCCAUAUUAACAAUACGCCCCACCCCAAAUUAAUGACUACAACUAAAUUAAACAAAGGGUAGAGCACAAACCACAUCAAGAUAAGAUU